CGUAGGGGCGAGCGUUAUCCGGAAUUAUUGGGCGUAAAGCGCGCGCAGGCGGCCGAUUAAAGUCAGGUGUGAAAGGCUGCGGCUCAAACCGCAGAGCGGCACCUGAAACUUGGUCGGCUUGAGUGCAGGAGAGGGGGCGGAAUUCCCGUGUAGCGGUGGAAUGCGUAGAGAUCGGAGGAACACCAGUGGCGAAGGCGGCUCUCUGGCCUGUAACUGACGCUGAGGCGCGAAAGCGUGGGGGAGCAAACAGGAUU
RNAcentral lists this ribosomal RNA (254 nucleotides) under uncultured bacterium. RNAcentral describes it as "partial 16S ribosomal RNA". It matches the Rfam family "Bacterial small subunit ribosomal RNA", at positions 526 to 779 of the family's 1533-position model. The record is from RNAcentral.